GACGAACGCUGGCGGCGUGCUUAACACAUGCAAGUCGAACGGUAAGGCCCCAGCUUGCUGGGGUACACGAGUGGCGAACGGUUGAGUAACACGUGGGUGACCUGCCCCGCACUUCGGGAUAAGCCUGGGAAACUGGGUCUAAUACCGGAUAGGACCGCACCGUGAGGGUGUGGUGGAAAGUUUUUCGGUGUGGGAUGGGCCCGCGGCCUAUCAGCUUGUUGGUGGGGUAAUGGCCUACCAAGGCGGCGACGGGUAGCCGGCCUGAGAGGGUGGACGGCCACAUUGGGACUGAGACACGGCCCAGACUCCUACGGGAGGCAGCAGUGGGGAAUAUUGCACAAUGGGCGGAAGCCUGAUGCAGCGACGCCGCGUGGGGGAUGACGGCCUUCGGGUUGUAAACUCCUUUCACCAUCGACGAAGGUUUUCUGACGGUAGAUGGAGAAGAAGCACCGGCUAACUACGUG
This 464-nucleotide ribosomal RNA is filed under the name uncultured bacterium. Its description in RNAcentral is "partial 16S ribosomal RNA". It matches the Rfam family "Bacterial small subunit ribosomal RNA", at positions 28 to 507 of the family's 1533-position model. The record is from RNAcentral.